This 2449-nucleotide long non-coding RNA is filed under the name Mus musculus (house mouse). Its description in RNAcentral is "long non-coding RNA chr3:8925589-8928038". The record is from RNAcentral. Lineage: Eukaryota; Metazoa; Chordata; Mammalia; Rodentia; Muridae.
AGAUUCAUAGCAAACCAUUUUAAUUGGAAUUUCUUUAUACAGUGGAUUGUGCUCAUCUGAGAAGCCAUAGGUUGUCAAUAAAAAGCCUAACACCAGGUUUGGGACACCUCCCCUCAAGCUGAUGGUCAGGGUUUUCCUGGAGACACCUGGCACAAUACAGACAACUGUCCCUGCACUUGUUUGCAUAUCAGGACAGGGCAGUAAAACUCUGCUGAAGACACUAUACAUUCUGGUCACAGACUAUGAAGAAACCAAGUUGGCCCACAAAACUUGGUUGGUACUCUCAGUGUACUAGGACAUGCUGUGUGGGCUGAAAUCAUCAGCUGUGAACCCUGUGAACUCGAAUAACAACCAGCAUGGCAGAAGAUGACCAGGGGUACAGUGUUGGCAUGAAUGCUAUGAGAGUAAGCAAACACUUCUUGGACUUUUAAGGCCUACUCCACAGGAGAUGGAACCAAUCCAGUUACUGCAGAUCUGGCCAAAAACUAUGAUUUUGCUAAACAGAUAUACUAUCAAGCUGCCCUAUAAAUUCCUCUCUACUCACAGGUGAGUGCAGCUCGAAGGCCUCACCAGCAAAGUUUCUUUGUGCAGUGGAUGGUAGUUAACACAGAAACAACUGGUCCAAGUUGCACAGCCUGUGGAGAGCUCCACCACAAAUGGCCACAAAUCCACAUCACCACUCCAUCAUCCCAAGGCUCAGGGACCAUCCUGGAGGAGCUGGUACAAAGAUUAUUAAGACCCAGUGGUCAGAGAGGACCAAAGCGCAAGUGCUUUCUGCAAUGACAGGAUCCCUACAAUCAUGAACUCUCAGCAGCUGUGUUGCCUGAGUGGGACCUGCCAGAUCAAGACAAUCGAGCUUCUAAAUAGACUGGGAAGUAGCUCGUGAGCCCCACCCAACUGAAUGGUUCAAAAUCCGAUAAAUGACAGCACAAAUUAGAAUGGAUUAUUAAAGUUUAUUGCUGGGGGUAGGGAGGUAGAAGCAGAUCAGGGAAGUAGUUAAGGGGGAAAGUUAGUGCAUAUGAUUAAAACAUAUGCAAUCCUCAAAGAUACUUACUUUUCAAACUGAAGUAACGAGGAGAUGGGAAUUUUGAGCUGGGAGUCAACCUGCACUAAGUAAUGAGAUCCUGUCUCAAAACAGUGUGUGGUGGGGCAUGCAUGUGAUCCCUGUCUCUGGCAGAUGGAGGUAGGAUGGUCAGGGCUUCAAGGUCACCCUUUGCUACAUAGCAAGAUGGACAGCUUGAACUGUGUGAGACUGCCUCAGAAAUAAAUAAAUGAAUGAAUGAACAAAUGGAUAAAUGGAUGAAUGAAAUAAAACCAAGUGAGUCAACAAGAGGGAUGAGUCUGCAGGACUCUUGCCUACACAGGCACCAAUGGGCAUGGGCUCUAUUGGCAAUACUGCUGCUCCAUGCAUCUUCCCACUAGCUCUAUUAAAAUACUUCCAAGUUAUUAAUACCCAUUGUAAUAGCAGUUAGCAAGAAAACGAAUAAAAUAUACUUCAAAGCCCUGAUGGCAUCAAUCGACCUGGCCUCAUCUACCAAGUUGUGGCAUCAACAGCACUACACGCACCACACCCCAGCCCACCCCCAAGAACACCAGUGUGCUAAAGGGUGCUUCCUAAAACCUCCAUAGAAAGGUCUUAGUGGUUUGGUUGAGGUGACUUAGAGGUGGUUAGAAAUUUAUGCCUCAGGCUGGGAUGUGGCUCAAAUAAGUCUGGGUUCUACUCCCACCACCACUAGAAAGCUAUGGUUCUUAACUGCACAGGAAAGACUGGAAGAAAGGUCCUGAGACAUAGGUGAGAUAUAGUGUCACACUAAAGACAUUCAUCUUAGCCUCAGAAAAAGGACCAUUUUAGAGGUCACAGAGAUGGCUGAGGAGAGCAUUUUGGGAGUUGGGAUAAUACUAAAAACUAGUCAUAUUGAAGAAAAAAAUCCUAGAAAUAAAGGAAAAAUAAAGUAUGUGAAGGCAUGUUCAUGUGUGUGAGGGUGUGCGUCAGCACACAUGGAGGCCAUCUGAUGUUGCCUGCCUUCUUUCUAUGAGGAUCCAGGUCUUCCUGCUUGCAUGGCAAAUACUUUACCACUGAAUCAUCUGCCCAGUCCUGACGCUGAGACUCUUAAAGGUCAUAUGUAAACAAGAAAAUUGUUUGGCUAUUGCUGUGUGGUAGGAAAAAAACAACUUAAAAUCAUCACACUACCAACCAAACUCAGCAACAUCACAAUUACACAAAGGAGUUGGUAGGAGCUGAGUCACCAGUCCACUGGAGUGUGAAGCCCUGGUACAUGCUGAGGGCACACGGGCCUUAAAUUCAUGCCCUACACCAGAAUAUGGAAACUGCAGAAUUAAGAUCUGCUGCUUUGGGGGGACUGGAUGGGGUGGGGUGCAGAGGGGAAACUAGGAAGGGGGCAUUUGAAAUGUAAAUAAAAUAACCAAUUAAAAAAAAUCUGCGUUACUU